Molecule: ribosomal RNA, 605 nt
Filed under: uncultured bacterium
Lineage: Bacteria
Description: bacterial SSU rRNA
Rfam family: Bacterial small subunit ribosomal RNA
Source: RNAcentral
ACAUGCAAGUCGAACGAAGUGGCAAACGGGUGAGUAACACGUAAACAACCUGCCUUCAGGAUGGGGACAACAGACGGAAACGACUGCUAAUACCGAAUACCUGAAGAGGGGUUUGCGUCUGAUUAGGCAGUUGGUGAGGUAACGGCCCACCAAACCUACGAUCAGUAGCCGGUCUGAGAGGAUGAACGGCCACACUGGAACUGAGACACGGUCCAGACUCCUACGGGAGGCAGCAGUGGGGAAUCUUCCGCAAUGGGCGAAAGCCUGACGGAGCAACGCCGCGUGAGUGAUGACGGCCUUCGGGUUGUAAAGCUCUGUGAUCGGGGACGCGGUACCCGAAUAGCAAGCCACGGCUAACUACGUGCCAGCAGCCGCGGUAAUACGUAGGUGGCAAGCGUUGUCCGGAAUUAUUGGGCGUAAAGCGCGCGCAGGCGGUUUCUAAGUCCAUCUUAAAAGUGCGGGGCUUAACCCCGUGAUGGGAUGGAAACUGGAAGCUGGAGUAUCGGAGAGGAAAGUGGAAUUCCUAGUGUAGCGGUGAAAUGCGUAGAGAUUAGGAAGAACACCGGUGGCGAAGGCGACUUUCUGGACGACAACUGGCGCUGAGG